This 253-nucleotide ribosomal RNA is filed under the name uncultured bacterium. RNAcentral's name for it is "partial 16S ribosomal RNA". It matches the Rfam family "Bacterial small subunit ribosomal RNA", at positions 524 to 776 of the family's 1533-position model. The record is from RNAcentral.
UACGUAGGGACCAAGCGUUGUUCGGAUUUACUGGGCGUAAAGGGCGCGUAGGCGGCAAUUCAAGUCAGUUGUGAAAUCUCCGAGCUUAACUCGGAACGGUCAACUGAUACUGUUUUGCUAGAGUACAGAAGGGGCAAUCGGAAUUCUUGGUGUAGCGGUGAAAUGCGUAGAUAUCAAGAGGAACACCUGAGGUGAAGACGGGUUGCUGGGCUGAUACUGACGCUGGGGCGCGAAAGCUAGGGUAGCAAACGGG